CUCUUCAUAGAUGUAUUAAAAUAUGCAGCCUUCUGUGUCUGGACUUUGAUUCUUGGAUUGCUAAUGAUUUGAUGCAUUCAUAUUGGUCUUGCUGCAGAAAAAGGCAAAGGAGUUUAGGAAGCAAAAAUCAAUUGACAAGAUCGAUGCGGAGGAAUUUAUUGCAGGUUCCAGCAGGCCAUCUAAAAAGAAAUCGAAGAGCUCUAGAUAAGGAAUACUACUUAGAAAGCCUGCUUGUGCUUGUAAAACCUGCAGCUGUGUAAAUUGCUGUGUUGUCACUAUCUUGUAUCUUCCUUCGGCCACCAUGUUGACGUUAGAAUUCUGGAGGACCUUCCCAUCCAUGCCUGUCAGCUAGUCUUAGUAUCUGGCGAUUUUGGAAAUGGGGUCACGCUCUUUUUCCCCCUUUGUUGUGAUGAUGGGUGAGGUCCAUAGUUUUGCUCUGUGUACUGGCUCUGAUAAAUGUCGUUGCUUUGUGUUACAAAUAAUUUACUGACAUGGAUCAAUUAUUCUUCUCUCUGUACUUAUCAUUUACUCUUUUGGUUUAGUCUUUGUUUCCAGUAAUUCUUCAUCAUCUCGUCUGUGUAUGGAUAGGGAAAUGUUAGAGCUUCUUUACUUGCAACAUAAGAAAGAAACUGCCAGCAGCACAUCGAUUCAUUCCUGAUCUGUCAAUUAGGUUUAGUAAAGCGCAGAUAACACAAAGAGCUUACUUGUUUAGGAACAAAAAAAACAUAGAAAUCAAAAAAGCAUAAUUAAUGACUCAAGGCAGUAGAAAUCAAACUUCAAUGGGAAUUUACAAUCUCAAUGUAAAUGAAACCUUGGUAAAUUGCAGCAAAUUUGUUCAACAAAUCAUCAGUAGUCAUUGAGUAGAAAGAUUUCUCCCAUCCACUUCAGGAUCUUUUGG
This 898-nucleotide long non-coding RNA is filed under the name Nicotiana tabacum (common tobacco). RNAcentral's name for it is "long non-coding RNA (NTAB_LNC013092)". Lineage: Eukaryota; Viridiplantae; Streptophyta; Magnoliopsida; Solanales; Solanaceae. The record is from RNAcentral.